AGUGAACGCUGGCGGUAGGCCUAACACAUGCGAGUCGAACGGCAGCACAGUAAGAGCUUGCUCUUACGGGUGGCGAGUGGCGGACGGGUGAGGAAUACAUCGGAAUCUACUUUUUCGUGGGGGAUAACGUAGGGAAACUUACGCUAAUACCGCAUACGACCUACGGGUGAAAGCAGGGGAUCUUCGGACCUUGCGCGAUUGAAUGAGCCGAUGUCGGAUUAGCUAGUUGGCGGGGUAAAGGCCCACCAAGGCGACGAUCCGUAGCUGGUCUGAGAGGAUGAUCAGACACACUGGAACUGAGACACGGUACAGACUCCUACGGGAGGCAGCAGUGGGGAAUAUUGGACAAUGGGCGCAAGCCUGAUCCAGCCAUACCGCGUGGGUGAAGAAGGCCUUCGGGUUGUAAAGCCCUUUUGUUGGGAAAGAAAAGCAGCAGGUUAAUACCCCGCUGUUCUGACGGUACCCAAAGAAUAAGCACCGGCUAACUUCGUG
RNAcentral lists this ribosomal RNA (492 nucleotides) under uncultured bacterium. RNAcentral's name for it is "partial 16S ribosomal RNA". It matches the Rfam family "Bacterial small subunit ribosomal RNA", at positions 29 to 507 of the family's 1533-position model. The record is from RNAcentral.